UGAGCUUUCCAGGCAGAAUGAAGAGCAAGUGCAGCUCUAAAAAUGCAAGCCUGCCUGAUGUGCUGAAGGACCAGCAAGAAGUGCAGCAUGCUUGAUGUGGAGUGAGGGGGAGAAAGCAGGAGAUGAGAAGUGACACACUUAUCUACUGAGAAGUCCAAGGAAAUGAACUGGAAAAUUCCUGGAACUCUGUUGUUAGAAAGCGAGCGAGAUUUCAGGAUGGAAGAGUCCAGCAAGUCAGUGAACGAGACAAGCACCAAGCACGGACUGGAAUUAAGAACUGGAGACACUUGUCAGUGCCUGGGGCAGGGUGGGGGCAUCUAAAAUCUGGAAGUGUGUGCAGCAGGGAUGUGCUUCAAGAGAAGACAGCUCAGGAAAGGGAAGACAGGGGAGCACAGCAGCCAGUUGACCAAAGGUGAUGGAAAGGUCCCACGGAGCAUUUCGCUGAUGGGCUGCAGAAGAGGAAAUCUGAAAGACGCUCUCCAGACUGGAAGAAAGUGAAUGUUCAUACUAUAAACUGCCUAUGGAAGCCACAUGGCAGGGGAGGCCUCUGAGAGCUGAGAGUCAAUCUCUCAGCACCACAGCUGCAGGGAAAGUAAUUCCCUCAACAAUCAGUGGAGCCAGCUAGAAGAUCUGCAAGCCCCAGACAGUAAACCACAGCCUCAGGGGCACCCUGAUUGCAGCUCAGUGAGACCUGGUACAGAGGGAGAAUUCGGUCAUGCCACACCUGGCAUUCUGACCUACUGAAAUCAAGAUGGUAAAUUUUCUUUGUUUUAAGCCACUAAAUCUGUAGGAACUUGUUAUGCAGCAAUAGAACAUUCAAGCAGUGAGCCCAGUCCCAGCUAACCGCAGAUAAUCCUGGUCGAUGCAUGUGGUCCCUCCAUAAUCAGCAGUACUCCUUUCCACUCUCAACAGGGUCCAGUUCACAUGUGGAUUCUGAAGAAUGGGAUAAGUACCAUGGUUCAGAGGUGGAGUCUGCCAUCUGCUGGGAGGAAAGGUGAAAUUUUUCUAUCAUCAACCAGUCAAUUGUAUAACUACCUCCACUAAGGCACUAUGCUAACAGACUACCUGUAUUACAAGUGUGUUUUUAUAAAUAAACAGGCACACAUACACACUUCCUAAAGGGAACAGCUAACCGGAAUCAGACUUAUCUUGGUAGAGAGGUCUGAUGGAGACAGGGUCAGGGAAUGAGUAGCAGGCUGUGUCUCAGGCCCUCCUUAAGAAUUUCAGUUUGGGGGGGGCUGAGCGCUCGCCUAGCACCUGUGAGGCCCUGGGUUCAAACCUCAGCACCACGUAAAAAUAAAAUAAAGGUAUUGUGUCCAACUACAACUAAAAAAUAAAUAUUAAAAACAAAAACCUGUAAGAUUUAAAAACAAGAAGAAUUAUGUCAGUUUGGGAAGAGGAAAAAGUUCCGCAGAUGGACAAUGGCAAUGACUGUGCGAGGGCUUAAUGUGACUCAACUGUACACCCACAAAAGGUUAAAGGGUAAAUGUUGUGUUAUGUAUAUUUCACCACAAUGAAAACAAAGGAAGAACCAGUGAGAAUGAGCGAGAAGAGAGGAAGGUGAGGGAAGAAAGAAAGACUGGUUGAAAAGGAAUCAGCAAAGUAUUUCCAGACCAAGGAAAAUGAAGAGUAGAGUUAAAGAUCAAUUAACAGCAAUUUAAAACAAAAACAAAACUGUAUCCAAAAUAUUUUACUUGAAAAAUCUUUCCCCAAAUCAAAAUCACUUAAAGAAAUAAAAAUCCUAGAGGAUUAGUUGUUUUAAUAAAGGUCUUUUUUAAAAGUAUGAUUAGUAUAAAAAAUGAAAACCUCUGUGGCUAAAUUAACCAUUGACAUGGGAACCCCGGGCUCAGAUGACAGGGUCUCUCUUCCUGUGUGUCGCAGGCUGUGUUUCCCAAACACACUGUGGUAAGAAGUAACUCCAGCAGUUUCUGGCACCACAAAGGCGCCCCUACAAUAUGACUGCCUCAUGGGAUGGGGUCCAGGCCUCCUCCCCUGCUUUGGGCUGGCCCUUGACACCCCUGGAAACCAGAGGGCACAGCGGGAAUGGCACUAAACACCUUCUGGGGAGGCAAGAAAGGCUUGGCAGCUCUGCCCAGGGCUCUGGCAUCACUUGCUCUCUAGAGGCCUCUGCUAUGACACUCUCCCCUAAAACACAGCCACCAGGCUGUGAGA
Long non-coding RNA from Marmota monax (woodchuck), 2172 nucleotides. RefSeq lists it as uncharacterized. The transcript has 4 exons. Lineage: Eukaryota; Metazoa; Chordata; Mammalia; Rodentia; Sciuridae. The record is from RefSeq and is a predicted model, not a curated record.